This 255-nucleotide ribosomal RNA is filed under the name uncultured bacterium. RNAcentral's name for it is "partial small subunit ribosomal RNA". It matches the Rfam family "Bacterial small subunit ribosomal RNA", at positions 26 to 285 of the family's 1533-position model. The record is from RNAcentral.
AGGACGAACGCUGGCGGCGUGCUUAAAACAUGCAAGUCGAGCGGAAAGGCCCUUCGGGGUACUCGAGCGGCGAACGGGUGAGUAACACGUGAGUAACCUGCCCCUAGCUUCGGGAUAGCUCCGGGAAACCGGAAUUAAUACCGGAUAUGACCACGGCCGACAUCGGCCACGGUGGAAAGAUUCAUCGGCUAGGGAUGGGCUCGCGGCCUAUCAGCUUGUUGGUGGGGUAACAGCCUACCAAGGCGACGACGGGUA